This 322-nucleotide unclassified non-coding RNA is filed under the name soil metagenome. Its description in RNAcentral is "partial contains 5.8S ribosomal RNA, internal transcribed spacer 2, and large subunit ribosomal RNA". The stretch from base 1 to 119 matches the Rfam family "5.8S ribosomal RNA", at positions 35 to 154 of the family's 154-position model. The record is from RNAcentral.
GAUGAAGACGUAGCGAAAUGCGAUAAGUAAUGCGAAUUGCAGAAUUCAGUGAGUCAUCGAAUCUUUGAACGCACAUUGCGCCCUGUGGUAUUCCGCAGGGCAUGCCUGUUCGAGCGUCAUUUCAACCCUCAAGCUCUGCUUGGUGUUGGGCCCUGCCCGCUGCGGCCGGCCCUAAAGACAGUGGCGGUGCCGCCUGGCCCUGAGCGUAGUACAUCUCUCGCUCCAGUGCCCGGUGGUAGCCUGCCAGAACCCCAACUCUCGUGGUUGACCUCGGAUCAGGUAGGGAUACCCGCUGAACUUAAGCAUAUCAAUAAGCGGAGGA